RNAcentral lists this unclassified non-coding RNA (722 nucleotides) under Hevea brasiliensis (rubber tree). Lineage: Eukaryota; Viridiplantae; Streptophyta; Magnoliopsida; Malpighiales; Euphorbiaceae. The record is from RNAcentral.
GGGUAAUCAGGGUUUGCAGGUAGCUGACCCGGAUAUAUUUGAGAUUAUGGAGAAGGAGAAGCAGAGACAGUACAAAGGGAUUGAACUGAUUGCUUCUGAAAAUUUUGUAUGCAAGGCUGUGAUGGAGGCAUUGGGGAGCCAUUUGACAAAUAAGUAUUCUGAAGGAGCAUCGGGGGCAAGGUAUUAUGGUGGUAAUCAGUUUAUUGAUGAAAUUGAGACAUUAUGUUGUAAGCGUGCGUUAGCUGCUUUUGGACUUGACCCGGAGAAUUGGGGUGUGAAUGUGCAACCAUAUUCAUGUACUUCAGCAAACUUUGCAGUUUAUACUGGCUUAUUGCUCCCUGGUGAUCGGAUAAUGGGAUUGGAUACACCAUCUGGUGGAAACACAAGUCAUGGGUAUUAUCUACCUAAUGGGAGGAGAGUUUCAGGGGCUUCAAUUUUCUUUGAGUCUCUCUCUUACAAGGUUGACCCCCAAACUGGGUAUGUAGAUUUUGAUAAGCUCGAGGAAAGGGCUCUUGAUUUCCGUCCCAAGAUACUUAUAUGUGGGGGGAGUUCGUAUCCCCGGGAAUGGGAUUAUGCAAAGUUUAGACAGAUUGCUGACAAAUGUGGUGCGGUUUUGUUGUGCGAUAUGGCACAAAUUAGUGGUCUCAUUGCUGCAAAGGAAUGUGCGAGUCCGUUUGAUUAUUGUGAUAUAGUUACCUCAACAACUCACAAAAGUCUUCGAG